RNAcentral lists this long non-coding RNA (667 nucleotides) under Homo sapiens (human). RNAcentral's name for it is "HRG and FETUB antisense RNA 1". The record is from RNAcentral. Lineage: Eukaryota; Metazoa; Chordata; Mammalia; Primates; Hominidae.
AACCAGACAACGUCUGUGCUAUUAUGUGGAUGAAGAAAAAGAGGGAACCGGGAUCUGAAUGAUGCAGUGUCGCAAUCCCAUUUUAUAAAUGAGGCAACCAAAACUCGAACAGGACCAUAUUGCGACUGAAACAAGGCAUAACAGGUCUUUGACUGGCUAUCCUGUGGAUGUGGACUCAGGCUAGCCUGCGCAAAGUGAAAGACAGGCAAUUAGAUUGAAAAAUACCUGUGAUUCAAAGAAGUCACAAGUCACAGAGACAAACUUUUCCCAGUGUGUUCGAGUCAGAGAACCUUUGCAAAGACCAACAGGCUAAAAGAGAAAAUACAAUGUCAUGACACAGCUAGAAUAUGUUUCCAAGCCUCCCCAACACGUGUGACUGUGUAUAAUUGAGUUCUAACCACAGGAAGCUUGAUGCAGAUGAGCAGGUAACCAUGGAAGUCGUGAGCUGAGGCUGCAGAGUCUAGAGCCAGAGUGUGGAAUAAACUUGGGUCUCAAAUCACCCCUGGAGCAAAGCACCCAUCUAAUCAGGAACUUCUACUUUCAACUUUACAUGCGUGAGAAAUGAACUUCUAUCAUGUUAGAGAAAUCCUUACACGGCGCCCUUGAGAGCUUUCAUACUGCAAGUCAUCCAUUUUCCUCCCCUCAAACCUGGCAUCGGAGUUUAUUG